UACGAAGGGGGCUAGCGUUGUUCGGAAUUACUGGGCGUAAAGGGCGCGUAGGCGGUACUUCAAGUCAGGCGUGAAAGCCCCGGGCUCAACCUGGGAACCGCGCUUGAGACUGGAGAACUAGAGUUCGGGAGAGGAUGGUGGAAUUCCCAGUGUAGAGGUGAAAUGCGCAGAUAUCAGGAAGAACACCAAUGGCGAAAGCAGCUCUCUGGGACGUGACUGACGCUGAGACGCGAAAGCGUGGGGAGCAAACAGG
Molecule: ribosomal RNA, 253 nt
Filed under: uncultured bacterium
Lineage: Bacteria
Description: partial 16S ribosomal RNA
Rfam family: Bacterial small subunit ribosomal RNA
Source: RNAcentral